AGUUUUCUGAAUCCGUGCCGACAUUUCGUCAGAAACCAGACCAUCACGACUGAUGAGACUCACACGAUAUGUGAACCG
This is a non-coding RNA of Schistosoma mattheei, 78 nucleotides long. NCBI's taxonomy places the organism in Eukaryota, Metazoa, Platyhelminthes, Trematoda, Strigeidida, Schistosomatidae. The record is from Rfam.